RNAcentral lists this ribosomal RNA (422 nucleotides) under uncultured bacterium. RNAcentral describes it as "bacterial SSU rRNA". It matches the Rfam family "Bacterial small subunit ribosomal RNA", at positions 355 to 774 of the family's 1533-position model. The record is from RNAcentral.
UGAGGAAUAUUGGUCAAUGGGGGCAACCCUGAACCAGCCAAGUCGCGUGAAGGAUGAAGGUCUUAUGGAUUGUAAACUUCUUUUACACGGGAAUAAAGUGGGGGACGUGUCCCCCUUUGCAUGUACCGUGUGAAUAAGGAUCGGCUAACUCCGUGCCAGCAGCCGCGGUAAUACGGAGGAUCCGAGCGUUAUCCGGAUUUAUUGGGUUUAAAGGGUGCGCAGGCGGGAUGUUAAGUCGGCGGUGAAAUUUUGCAGCUCAACUGUAAAAGUGCCUUCGAUACUGGCCUCCUUGAGUGUGGAUGAAGUAGGCGGAAUUUGUGGUGUAGCGGUGAAAUGCUUAGAUAUCACGAGGAACUCCGAUUGCGCAGGCAGCUUACUAGGCCACAACUGACGCUCAUGCACGAAGGCAUGGGGAUCAAACA